Molecule: ribosomal RNA, 1517 nt
Filed under: metagenome
Description: bacterial LSU rRNA
Rfam family: Bacterial large subunit ribosomal RNA
Source: RNAcentral
UUCGAUGGGAAACAGGUCAAUAUUCCUGUACCGAUUCUAGAUGCGAUGUGGGGACGGAGAAGGUUAGGUCAGCCGGGUGUUGGACGUCCCGGUUUAAGCGUGUAGGCGUGCCCCUUAGGCAAAUCCGGGGGGCUGAGCUGAGGCGUGAUGACGAGGAACCACGGUUCCGAAGUGAUUGAUACCAAGCUUCCAGGAAAAGCCACUAAGCUUCAGUCUAGAGUUGACCGUACCGCAAACCGACACAGGUGGGCAGGAUGAAAAUUCUAAGGCGCUUGAGAGAACUCAGGAGAAGGAACUCGGCAAAUUAACACCGUAACUUCGGGAGAAGGUGUGCCCCGGUAGCGUGUAGAGACUUGCUCUCGAAGCGCGAUGGGGUUGCAGUGAAAUGGUGGCUGCGACUGUUUAAUAAAAACACAGCACUCUGCAAACACGAAAGUGGACGUAUAGGGUGUGACGCCUGCCCGGUGCCGGAAGGUUAAGUGAUGGGGUGCAAGCUCUUGAUCGAAGCCCCGGUAAACGGCGGCCGUAACGAUAACGGUCCUAAGGUAGCGAAAUUCCUUGUCGGGUAAGUUCCGACCUGCACGAAUGGCGUAACGAUGGCCACACUGUCUCCUCCUGGGACCCAGCGAAGUUGAAAUGUUUGUGAAGAUGCAAUCUACCCGCGGCUAGACGGAAAGACCCCAUGAACCUUUACUGUAGCUUUGCAUUGGACUUUGAACCGGUUUGUGUAGGAUAGGUGGGAGACUGUGAAGCCGGGACGCUAGUUUCGGUGGAGUCAACCUUGAAAUACCACCCUGAUUUGUUUGAGGUUCUAACCUUAGUCCGUGAAUCCGGAUCGGGGACCGUGCAUGGUAGGCAGUUUGACUGGGGCGGUCUCCUCCCAAAAGGUAACGGAGGAGUACGAAGGUACGCUUAGGGCGGUCGGACAUCGCCCACAAAGUGCAAUGGCAAAAGCGUGCUUGACUGCGAGACCCACAAGUCGAGCAGGUACGAAAGUAGGUCAUAGUGAUCCGGUGGUUCUGUAUGGAAGGGCCAUCGCUCAACGGAUAAAAGGUACUCUGGGGAUAACAGGCUAAUUCCUCCCAAGAGUUCAUAUCGACGGGGGAGUUUGGCACCUCGAUGUCGGCUCAUCACAUCCUGGGGCUGUAGUCGGUCCCAAGGGUAUGGCUGUUCGCCAUUUAAAGUGGUACGCGAGCUGGGUUUAAAACGUCGUGAGACAGUUUGGUCCCUAUCUGCCGUGGGCGCUGGAAUUUGAAGGGGGCUGCUCCUAGUACGAGAGGACCGGAGUGGACGAACCUCUGGUGUACCGGUUAUGACGCCAGUCGUAUCGCCGGGUAGCUAAGUUCGGAAGAGAUAAACGCUGAAAGCAUCUAAGCGUGAAACUCGCCUUAAGAUAAGAUUUCCCGGAGUCUUGAACUCCCUGAAGGGUCGUCGAAGACCACGACGUUGAUAGGUCAGGUGUGGAAGCGCAGCAAUGCGUUAAGCUAACUGAUACUAAUUGCCCGUGCGGCUUGAUC